This is a long non-coding RNA of Lutra lutra (Eurasian river otter), 180 nucleotides long. RefSeq lists it as uncharacterized. NCBI's taxonomy places the organism in Eukaryota, Metazoa, Chordata, Mammalia, Carnivora, Mustelidae. The record is from RefSeq and is a predicted model, not a curated record. The transcript is spliced from 3 exons.
UGCUAUAAGCUUAGGGCUGCAUGAGCUCCUUUGAAUUAGUAUUUUGUAUUCCUUGCACAAAUACCAGUAGUGCAACUGCUGGGUUACAGGGUAGCUCUAUUUUCAACUUUUUGAGGAACCUCCGUGCUGUUUUCCACACUGCCUGCACCAGCUGGCAUUUCCACCAGCAGUGCAGAGUUC